Molecule: long non-coding RNA, 2050 nt
Organism: Apteryx owenii (little spotted kiwi)
Lineage: Eukaryota; Metazoa; Chordata; Aves; Apterygiformes; Apterygidae
Source: Ensembl
CUUGUUUCUUUUUGCUCAACAAAUGAAUGAGAGAUAUGAAUCCUUUGAUUCAGAGAGUAGCUUUAGUUUGCAGAGAAUAUUAAGGGAUUUUACUGUUGAUAUUUUCACAUUAAUAUACAUUAUUUAUCUCCACAGGGUGGCGAAAAAGAGAAAAUUGCAAAGACUUACUGGGUGGCAGGAAGUGGGAUUCACUAUAAUCAACAGCAGCAGGAGACUCUUUGAGUCACUCAAAGCCAAUGGCCUGUGACUGAUACCCAAUUAAUAACCCAAGGGCCCAGCACAUGGACAAGGUAAAAGAGCAAAUUUCUCUUUGUAUAUUCUUUUGUACAGUAAAGACAUUACAGUAACUAAAAUGAGCAAAAAUCAGCAUUGCCAGGGAGGCAUGUCUACUUUUUAAGUAACAUAAGACACCAGCACACAUAUCAACUGGCUGCAAUGGACCUGAUUAAUCAUUUUAUAGGCUGCUGUAAAAAAAGAGGGGUAAUGAAUGAUCACAUAUGUGGAACAUAUGCUAUCAGGACACAAAUUAAUGAAAAUGUUUUUGCAGGAGGAAAAAUCUUUGUGAUACAGUGGUAGCAGAUGGUAUUGUGAUGUAGCUCUAUCACAGAGAUGCAGAUUAUUGUUAGAACAGAAAAAUCUUCAUCAGUUUUCAGAGUUUAUUUGCACGUUGGGUGCAUAUGAAAAGCCUAAUGUGUUCCACUCAGUAUGCAAGUGAAGAAGCAACAUUUCUUUUCAAAAAAGACUGACUAUAUAAUUUGGGAGCUAUGCAUAUAUAUCAGAGUGCAGAGUUUUGAUGCAGCCAUUUUUUUCACACCUUGAAAAUCUUUUUCAAACCAUUUUGGAUUGAAUGGAAAUUAUCAGUGUAAAGAUACCUGGUUUUAUUUCUUAUUCCUUUCUACUGACCACUUCCACAAAUGUUACUGAAGUCCCCCGCAAGGAGCAACUAUUACAGUCAUGCAGGGUUAGGAAGGAGAACAUGCAGAACCACUGUUUUUCUCAUGCCCAUUACAUUUCCUUUUAAUUUCUAUUUGUCCAUAUAGCAAAAGGCUCAAAGGUAUUAUGAACAGGAGUAAUCAUCUGAAUAGACAAAUUUUGUGUACAGACUACCUUUCCUGACUUCAGAGACUUUGGCUUUCACAGCACCACAAGACUCAGAACAGAACAAUAUCAAUUCUGUCCAUCCUCUUCUAUCGGAGAAUUUGUCCCUGACGUAUGUUAAGGAGUGGUUUGUUCAUGCCAUUUUCAAAUUACUCACUAAUUUAAACUCCCUAAAAUAAUCAGAUAGAAAUGUUAGAUUUCUAUGAGGUUUCCAAUUUUCCUUCAAAUAUUCUGCUUUACUAUAGAUGGGUGAACCGGAAGAUAUACGAAAGGAAGGAACUACUGAGUUUCCACUCUAAGCAAACACAAUUCAUUUUGAUAAUCCUGAAGAUGUUGUCUCAUCAUUUUGACUCACAGUAGAAUAAUUGAAUUUGGCAGAUAUUUUCUGUGAAAUGCCUUCUCUUUAUUGGUGUUUUUAUGUGUUAGCAAGUGCAAAAGAAAAGGAGGGAAAAGAAGUAAGAUAUAUAAAGUUAUAUUCUCAUUGCAGUAAAAAUGUUUUUUCACUCAGGUACAAUAUUCUAGCAGUGUACCAUGUAGAGCUGUAAAUGAAGAGGUCUCCUCAGCCUAAUAUGAUGUAAAAUCCUCACAGAAGCCAAGUGCUGUAUUUUCUUAUUUUGAUGUAGCUGGUUGACAUCAACUCCAACUGAGAGAUGCAUGAUUGGCCUUGACUGACUAUCUGGAUAUAAAAACUGCCUGUGUCUUGUCUCCACUAGGACCAUACCUAGAAAAAGCUGUCCUAACUUACCUCUUAUAAUGUUAAAAAAAAAAAAAAGUUUCUUUUUUUAAUCUUUGUAUUGAGGACAAAGCCUAAUACAUAUAACAGUACAGCAAGCCGGAACAGUGCUAGGUUGAAGGACAUAAUUUCUCCCUUCUUUGUUUUCUUCAGUCAUUAAACUGGGGCAACAAUUUUUUUCUGUAGUAUGAAUAAUAAAUAGGCUGUUCUACCAGCCCA